UACGGGGGGGGCAAGCGUGGUUCGGAAUUACUGGGCGUAAAGGGCUCGUAGGUGGCCAACUAAGUCAGACGUGAAAUCCCUCGGCUUAACCGGGGAACUGCGUCUGAUACUGGAUGGCUUGAGUUUGGGAGAGGGACGCGGAAUUCCAGGUGUAGCGGUGAAAUGCGUAGAUAUCUGGAGGAACACCCGUAGCGAAGGCGGCACUCUGGGCCGAUUCUGACACUGAGGAGCGAAAGCGUGGGGAGCGAACAGG
This 253-nucleotide ribosomal RNA is filed under the name uncultured bacterium. RNAcentral describes it as "partial 16S ribosomal RNA". It matches the Rfam family "Bacterial small subunit ribosomal RNA", at positions 524 to 776 of the family's 1533-position model. The record is from RNAcentral.